This is a long non-coding RNA of Myotis brandtii (Brandt's bat), 462 nucleotides long. RefSeq lists it as uncharacterized. The transcript is spliced from 2 exons. The record is from RefSeq and is a predicted model, not a curated record. Lineage: Eukaryota; Metazoa; Chordata; Mammalia; Chiroptera; Vespertilionidae.
CCGGACCGGCCCAGCCUGUAAAGGAAGGGGUCACCAACCGGUCUCCGGGAGCCCGCCCGGCCGCACUGCGCCGAGAAGGGAGAGGCACCUGGAGACGGGUUAGAGCGGGACAGACAAACGGACCGACACGCAGACGCUCACAGACGGGGCCGAGGAUUCCCGGUCGGUGGGGAAAUGCUGAUGGACCCCUCCUCCCUCCGGUGUGGGGACGUCUGGGUCGCAGUCGGGACUCGGGAGCCCACCCCGGGAACGUAGUCCCGGAUGAAUCAGACCCGUCUGGGCUGGGACAACGCAGGUGCCCGCCCCCCUCCGAGCUCAGAUGGGACAAAGCCAUGAGCGGCGGACAGGAGGGAAUAAAAAAGGAACCGUACUACUACCGACCAAGGUUUCACGUCUGGCAUGGAGCCUUUCCGCUCAUUGUUUUAAGGUUCAAGUAUAAUAAAAAGUGACUAAAUGAAUGAC